Molecule: ribosomal RNA, 490 nt
Filed under: uncultured bacterium
Lineage: Bacteria
Description: partial 16S ribosomal RNA
Rfam family: Bacterial small subunit ribosomal RNA
Source: RNAcentral
AUUGAACGCUGGCGGCAGGCCUAACACAUGCAAGUCGAACGGUAACAGGAAGAAGCUUGCUUCUUUGCUGACGAGUGGCGGACGGGUGAGUAAUGUCUGGGAAACUGCCUGAUGGAGGGGGAUAACUACUGGAAACGGUAGCUAAUACCGCAUAACGUCGCAAGACCAAAGAGGGGGACCUUCGGGCCUCUUGUCAUCGGAUGUGCCCAGAUGGGAUUAGCUAGUAGGUGGGGUAACGGCUCACCUAGGCGACGAUCCCUAGCUGGUCUGAGAGGAUGACCAGCCACACGGGAACUGAGACACGGUCCAGACUCCUACGGGAGGCAGCAGUGGGGAAUAUUGCACAAUGGGCGCAAGCCUGAUGCAGCCAUGCCGCGUGUAUGAAGAAGGCCUUCGGGUUGUAAAGUACUUUCAGCGGGGAGGAAGGGAGUAAAGUUAAUACCUUUGCUCAUUGACGUUACCCGCAGAAGAAGCACCGGCUAACUCCGUG